UACGGGAGGCAGCAGUGGGGAAUAUUGCACAAUGGGCGCAGGCCUGAUGCAGCCAUGCCGCGUGUAUGAAGAAGGCCUUCGGGUUGUAAAGUACUUUCAGUCGUGAGGAAGGUGUUAAGGUUAAUAACCUUAGCAAUUGACGUUAGCGACAGAAGAAGCACCGGCUAACUCCGUGCCAGCAGCCGCGGUAAUACGGAGGGUGCGAGCGUUAAUCGGAAUUACUGGGCGUAAAGGGCACGCAGGCGGUUAAUUAAGUUGGAUGUGAAAUCCCCGGGCUUAACCUGGGAAUGGCAUUCAAGACUGGUUAGCUAGAGUCUUGUAGAGGGGGUAGAAUUCCAUGUGUAGCGGUGAAAUGCGUAGAGAUGUGGAGGAAUACCGGUGGCGAAGGCGGCCCCUGGACAAAGACUGACGCUCAUGUGCGAAAGCGUGGGGAGCAAACAGGAUUAGAUACC
This 452-nucleotide ribosomal RNA is filed under the name uncultured bacterium. Its description in RNAcentral is "bacterial SSU rRNA". It matches the Rfam family "Bacterial small subunit ribosomal RNA", at positions 340 to 786 of the family's 1533-position model. The record is from RNAcentral.